Molecule: non-coding RNA, 105 nt
Organism: Xenorhabdus nematophila ATCC 19061
Lineage: Bacteria; Pseudomonadati; Pseudomonadota; Gammaproteobacteria; Enterobacterales; Morganellaceae
Source: Rfam
GCCAUCUCAACGGGGUGCAGUUGUUGCAAAAUAUCGCUGCUGAGAAUAAACCCGUUAAACCUGAACCGGUUAGUACCGGCGGAGGGAUUUGGGUUGCUAUUCAUU